RNAcentral lists this ribosomal RNA (269 nucleotides) under uncultured prokaryote. RNAcentral's name for it is "partial 16S ribosomal RNA". It matches the Rfam family "Bacterial small subunit ribosomal RNA", at positions 524 to 792 of the family's 1533-position model. The record is from RNAcentral.
UACGGGGGGAGCAAGCGUUGUCCGGAUUCAUUGGGCGUAAAGGGCGUGUAGGCGGAUCUGUAUGUCGGUGGUGAAAAUCUGGGGCUCAACCCCAGACCUGCCCCCGAAACUGCAAAUCUUGAGUGCAGGAGAGGGAACUGGAAUUCCUGGUGUAGCGGUGGAAUGCAUAGAUAUCAGGAAGAACACCGGUUGCGAAGGCGAGUUCCUGGCCUGACACUGACGCUGAGGCGCGAAAGCGUGGGGAGCAAACAGGAUUAGAUACCCCCGUA